AGUAACACGUGGGUAACCUGCCCAUCAGAGGGGGAUAACACUUGGAAACAGGUGCUAAUACCGCAUAAUAGUCGACACCGCAUGGUGUUGAUUUGAAAGACGCUUUCGGGUGUCACUGAUGGAUGGACCCGCGGUGCAUUAGCUAGUUGGUGAGGUAACGGCUCACCAAGGCGAUGAUGCAUAGCCGACCUGAGAGGGUGAUCGGCCACACUGGGACUGAGACACGGCCCAGACUCCUACGGGAGGCAGCAGUAGGGAAUCUUCGGCAAUGGACGAAAGUCUGACCGAGCAACGCCGCGUGAGUGAAGAAGGUUUUCGGAUCGUAAAACUCUGUUGUUAGAGAAGAAUAAGUAGGAGAGUAACUGCUCUUACCUUGACGGUAUCUAACCAGAAAGCCACGGCUAACUACGUGCCAGCAGCCGCGGUAAUACGUAGGCGGCAAGCGUUGUCCGGAUUUAUUGGGCGUAAAGCGAGCGCAGGCGGUUUCUUAAGUCUGAUGUGAAAGCCCCCGGCUCAACCGGGGAGGGUCAUUGGAAACUGGGAGACUUGAGUGCAGAAGAGGAGAGUGGAAUUCCAUGUGUAGCGGUGAAAUGCGUARAUAUAUGGAGGAACACCAGUGGCGAAGG
RNAcentral lists this ribosomal RNA (626 nucleotides) under uncultured bacterium. Its description in RNAcentral is "bacterial SSU rRNA". It matches the Rfam family "Bacterial small subunit ribosomal RNA", at positions 109 to 721 of the family's 1533-position model. The record is from RNAcentral.